CUCAGGCCACGCCCCUGGCCAGAACCCGCGCAGGUGCAGUGGGACGUUGGCAGCCGUCGGUGUCCGCUUGAGGUGGUGGUACCUCCGCACCCAUCUUUCUGGAGCUCGUCAAUACUGUUUUCCUGAGCUGGAAUCCGCCAUUAGAUAGGAUGGGCGCUUGAAAAGUAGGCGACCUCACGUGGAUGUGACAAAGGAGCCAGUUUUGCUGCUGUGCUCGCCCUUUGCCGCAUCGCCCACCGUCCGCCGCCAGUUUCCGGUAGCCAAUCCCUUCUGUGUUCUUAUUCCAGGGAAGGAUGAGGGGGUUGGAAAAGUGAGGUGCUGGGGAGCCCACGGGCGUGCAGAGGAGGCUUAGCCAAGCAGAGAGGCGAGUGGGUGUUGGGUGAACCAAGAGCCUCUGGAUCCCAAGUCCACGCUUAUUCUCCACCCCUACCUAGAAGAGGAAAGAAGAACAGGGAAGGGGUUUGCUGGUAGAACCUCCAUGUCUUUGUUGUUUCCUUGGUUUGGAAGGCUUUCCUUUUCCCCGCUUGGUGAAAGCCUGUUCAUCUUCCAGGACCCAGCUGGAACACUUCUGGAAGUUUCUUGAACUCUGCCCCUUUUCCUUAUCCAGUCUCUGUUGCUAAGUAUUUCUACAGUAUUGAAGAGUUUGAUUACUGGCCUGAUCACCCGUGGUGACGUUGGGCAAGUUACCUAAGAUAUUCAAACUUAAGGAUCCUCAACUUUGAAGAUCCUUAACUUUGCCCAUAUCCUAUGUAAUAGAGCUGUGGGAUUCAAGUGAGCAAGUGCGUUUUAGUGUUUCCCACAGUGCUUGUUGUAUAGUACAUGUUAAAUAUUUUCCUAAGGGGAGAGGGAAGAAUACAUAAAAGGAUUUCCUUUUUUUUUUUUUUUCUUUUGUGUGGUGCUGGAGAUUGAAUUCAGACCUCUGAGCUACAUCCCAUCACGUUUCUGGUUUUUUGAUUUUUAGACACUAAGUUUCUGAGGCUGGCUUUGAACUCGUAAUCCUCUUGACUCAGCCUCCUAAGUAGCUGGAAUUGUCUGUGCACCACUGUGCUUGGCACUUUUAUUUUCUUUAGGAUGGCUUUAUUACAUCAAGUCAUUUUGUAAUUUUUGGCAAAAGACGAGCAGGUACACAGAAAGAAAAUGAGGCUCUGGUGAAGAUCAUUGAGAAGUCUAGUUAAAGGAGUACUCAGUAGGGACAAAGGUUCAAGCAGAUGUGUUGGUUUCCUCUCGCACCAUGCUACCCACUUCUUGAUGAUAAUGGUGCAUCUCUUUUUCUUAUGUACCAGGCAUUGUACUAUGUGCCUCAAACUCAACAACCCAAUGAGGUAGCUUUCUGAAUUAUAAAGAGCCUGAAGAUCAGGUAGAAUAAUUUACCCAAGUUCAUCCAGCUACUAAGUAGCAAGACUGGAAUCCACAUCUAUGGAUUCUUAAGAAUUUUGAGGGCUGGGGAUGUGGCUCAAGCGGUAGCGCUCUCGCCUGGCAUGGGUGCGGCCCGGGUUCCAUCCUCAGCACUACAUACAAACAAAGAUGUUGUGUCAGCUGAAAACUUAAAAAAAAAAAAAACAAUAAAUAUUAAAAUUCUCAAAAAAAAAAAAAAAAAAGAAUUUCGAGUCUGUGCUACAUUCCUUUUAUUGGAGGUGGGGGGCAGAGUACUGGGGAUUAAGCCCAAGGGUGUUUUACCACAGAUGCAGCCCCAGCC
This 1696-nucleotide long non-coding RNA is filed under the name Marmota monax (woodchuck). The record is from RNAcentral. Lineage: Eukaryota; Metazoa; Chordata; Mammalia; Rodentia; Sciuridae.